ACGUUCGGAUUGUAGUCUGCAACCCGACUACAUGAAGCUGGAAUCGCUAGUAAUCGCAGGUCAGCAUACUGCGGUGAAUACGUUCCCGGGUCUUGUACACACCGCCCGUCACACCAUGGGAGCCGGAAAUGCCCGAAGCCAGUGACCCAACCUUAGGGAGGGAGCUGUCGAAGGUGGAGCCGGUAACUGGGGUGAAGUCGUAACAAGGUACC
This 212-nucleotide ribosomal RNA is filed under the name uncultured bacterium. Its description in RNAcentral is "partial 16S ribosomal RNA". It matches the Rfam family "Bacterial small subunit ribosomal RNA", at positions 1288 to 1500 of the family's 1533-position model. The record is from RNAcentral.